This 497-nucleotide ribosomal RNA is filed under the name uncultured bacterium. Its description in RNAcentral is "partial 16S ribosomal RNA". It matches the Rfam family "Bacterial small subunit ribosomal RNA", at positions 28 to 507 of the family's 1533-position model. The record is from RNAcentral.
GAUGAACGCUGGCGGCGUGCCUAAUACAUGCAAGUCGAGCGAACGGACGAGAAGCUUGCUUCUCUGAUGUUAGCGGCGGACGGGUGAGUAACACGUGGAUAACCUACCUAUAAGACUGGGAUAACUUCGGGAAACCGGAGCUAAUACCGGAUAAUAUUUUGAACCGCAUGGUUCAAUAGUGAAAGACGGUCUUGCUGUCACUUAUAGAUGGAUCCGCGCUGCAUUAGCUAGUUGGUAAGGUAACGGCUUACCAAGGCAACGAUGCAUAGCCGACCUGAGAGGGUGAUAGGCCACACUGGAACUGAGACACGGUCCAGACUCCUACGGGAGGCAGCAGUAGGGAAUCUUACGCAAUGGGCGAAAGCCUGACGGAGCAACGCCGCGUGAGUGAUGAAGGUCUUCGGAUCGUAAAACUCUGUUAUUAGGGAAGAACAGAUGUGUAAGUAACUGUGCACAUCUUGACGGUACCUAAUCAGAAAGCCACGGCUAACUACGUG